Molecule: ribosomal RNA, 447 nt
Filed under: uncultured bacterium
Lineage: Bacteria
Description: bacterial SSU rRNA
Rfam family: Bacterial small subunit ribosomal RNA
Source: RNAcentral
UCGAGAAUCUUCGGCAAUGGGCGCAAGCCUGACCGAGCGAUGCCGCGUGCGGGAUGAAGGCCUUCGGGUUGUAAACCGCUGUCAGAGGGGAUGAAAUACGUCGGGGGUUCUCCCCCGGGUUUGACAUAUCCUCAGAGGAAGGACGGGCUAAGUUCGUGCCAGCAGCCGCGGUAAGACGAACCGUCCAAACGUUAUUCGGAAUUACUGGGCUUAAAGGGUGCGUAGGCGGCCUGACAAGUUGGGUGUGAAAUACCUCGGCUCAACCGAGGAAUGGCGCUCAAAACUGCCAGGCUUGAGGGAGAUAGAGGUGAGCGGAACUUAAGGUGGAGCGGUGAAAUGCGUUGAUAUCUUAAGGAACACCCGUGGCGAAAGCGGCUCACUGGAUCUUUUCUGACGCUGAUGCACGAAAGCUAGGGGAGCAAACGGGAUUAGAUACCCCCGUAGUCC